RNAcentral lists this ribosomal RNA (690 nucleotides) under Saprolegnia sp. UNCW273. RNAcentral describes it as "eukaryotic LSU rRNA". It matches the Rfam family "Eukaryotic large subunit ribosomal RNA", at positions 53 to 645 of the family's 3401-position model. Lineage: Eukaryota; Oomycota; Saprolegniomycetes; Saprolegniales; Saprolegniaceae. The record is from RNAcentral.
GAGGAAAAGAAACUAACAAGGAUUCCCCCAGUAACGGCGAGUGAAGCGGGAAGAGCUCAAGCUUAAAAUCUCCAUACUUGUAUGGCGAAUUGUAGUCUAUUGAGGCUGUUGUCAGCAUCGCGAUUGGGGACAAGUCCCUUGGAAAAGGGCAGCAUGGAGGGUGAUACUCCCGUCUCUGCUCCAAUCUGCGGUGUGUACGAUACGCUUUCUUUGAGUCGAGUUGUUUGGGAAUACAGCUCAAAGUAGGUGGUAAAUUCCAUCUAAAGCUAAAUAUUGGUGCGAGACCGAUAGCGAACAAGUACCGUGAGGGAAAGAUGAAAAGAACUUUGAAAAGAGAGUUAAAGAGUACCUGAAACUGUUGAAAGGGAACCGUAUCGUUUCCAGUGUUGUAUCCUAUGCAUAUUUCAUUCGUGGAGUAAUUUACGGGUGCCCUGUGCAUGGGUGUGACGUCAGGGUCAGUUUGUAUGCUGCGGGAGAUGGUCAGUGAGGAGGUGCGUCACUUCGGUGAAAGUUAUAUCUCGCUGUCUAGUAGCCGUGGUUGAGACUGAGGUGCCUACAACAUGCCUUAAGGUUCUAUGUUGUCUCGUGUUGGUGACUGCUUUGAUAGCUUGCUAUGUCUGUGGUUUAUUAAUGCGAUUGAUGAUGUGGAUAACUUUUGCUGUUCGGGACUCUGGCGAAAUGGAGCGAUAC